UUCCCCUAUAAGAACCCCCUUCGUACGACCUUUUCUUCUGAUUUCUUUUCUCUUUCUUUCCUUAAUCAAUUCGUAAUCUGUAAUUAGGAUAGUACCAAAUCGUUAAUCGAAGUACGCCCGUUACACAUUUGCUGAGAAUUCAACAAAUAUGCAACCAAAUUAGAAGAGUUAAGCUAUGAUGCCACUCUACAUAAACUUGCAAUGACAGAAUCGAAUCUGUCAGAGAGAUGGAAAAAGCUUAAAGAGAAGUCAAAUUUCAAAAACCCCACUCAAAACUUUAACAACAGAAAUAAUGCUGAUAAUAGAUCACAAAACA
RNAcentral lists this small RNA (316 nucleotides) under Histoplasma ohiense. RNAcentral's name for it is "hypothetical lncRNA". Lineage: Eukaryota; Fungi; Ascomycota; Eurotiomycetes; Onygenales; Ajellomycetaceae. The record is from RNAcentral.